Non-coding RNA from Triticum aestivum (bread wheat), 100 nucleotides. The record is from Rfam. Lineage: Eukaryota; Viridiplantae; Streptophyta; Magnoliopsida; Poales; Poaceae.
AAUAUACUCUCUCCGCCCGAAAAUACUUGUCAUUAAAAUGGAGAUACAUCUCUUUUUAUCCAUUUUGAUGACAAGUAUUUUCGAACGGAGUGAGUAUAAU